UAGUCUGGUGCCAGCAGCCGCGGUAAUUCCAGCUCCAAUAGCGUAUAUUAAAGUUGUUGCAGUUAAAACGCUCGUAGUCGGAUUUCGGGGCAGGUUUGCCGGUCUGCCGAUGGGUAUGCACUGGUAGAACUGUCCUUCCUUCCGGAGACGGCGCCUACUCUUAACUGAGCGGGUGUCGGAGAUGGAUCGUUUACUUUGAAAAAAUCAGAGUGUUUCAAGCAGGCAGCUCGCUUUUGCAUGGAUUAGCAUGGGAUAAUGAAAUAGGACUUUGGUGCUAUUUUGUUGGUUUCGAACACCGAAGUAAUGAUUAACAGGGACAGUCAGGGGCACUCGUAUUCCGCCGAGAGAGGUGAAAUUCUUAGACCAGCGGAAGACGAACCACUGCGAAAGCAUUUGCCAGGGAUGUUUUCACUGAUCAAGAACGAAAGUUAGGGGAUCGAAGACGAUCAGAUACCGUCGUAGUCUUAACCAUAAACCAUGCCGACUAGGGAUUGGAGGAUGUUCCUAUGUGACUCCUUCAGCACCUUUCGGGAAACUAAAGUCUUUGGGUUCCGGGGGGAGUAUGGUCGCAAGGCUGAAACUUAAAGGAAUUGACGGAAGGGCACCACCAGGAGUGGAGCCUGCGGCUUAAUUUGACUCAACACGGGGAAACUUACCAGGUCCAGACAUUGUGAGGAUUGACAGAUUGAGAGCUCUUUCUUGAUUCGAUGGGUGGUGGUGCAUGGCCGUUCUU
RNAcentral lists this ribosomal RNA (733 nucleotides) under uncultured eukaryote. RNAcentral's name for it is "SSU rRNA". It matches the Rfam family "Eukaryotic small subunit ribosomal RNA", at positions 557 to 1295 of the family's 1831-position model. The record is from RNAcentral.